This 429-nucleotide ribosomal RNA is filed under the name uncultured archaeon. RNAcentral describes it as "bacterial SSU rRNA". It matches the Rfam family "Archaeal small subunit ribosomal RNA", at positions 474 to 903 of the family's 1478-position model. The record is from RNAcentral.
UACCUGCAGCUCAAGUGGUGACCACUAUUAUUGGGCCUAAAACGUUCGUAGCCGGUUUGGUAAAUGUCUGGGUAAAUCGUGUAGCUUAACUAUACGAAUUCCGGGUAGACUGCCAAACUUGAGACCGGGAGAAGCUAGAGGUACUCCUGGGGUAGAGGUGAAAUUCUGUAAUCCUGGGGGGACCACCAGUGGCGAAGGCGUCUAGCUAGAACGGGUUUGACGGUGAGGAACGAAGCCCUGGGGCGCAAACCGGAUUAGAUACCCGGGUAGUCCAGGGUGUAAACGCUGCUUGCUUGAUGUUAGUUGGGCUCCGAGCCCAAUUAGUGUCGGAGAGAAGUUGUUAAGCAAGCUGCCUGGGAAGUACGAUCGCAAGAUUGAAACUUAAAGGAAUUGGCGGGGGAGCACAGCAACGGGUGGAGCGUGCGGUUU